Molecule: long non-coding RNA, 3777 nt
Organism: Magnolia sinica
Lineage: Eukaryota; Viridiplantae; Streptophyta; Magnoliopsida; Magnoliales; Magnoliaceae
Exons: 3
Source: RefSeq, a predicted model, not a curated record
UGAUGAAAUGGCAUGCUAAUUGUUUUUUGAAAUGGCAUGUGUUUAGAAUUAGAUCUGUGAUAAGCCAUGUGUUAAAGCUAAUUCACUCAUUCAUGUGUUAAAGCUAAUUCACUCAUGCUAAACACACCUACAACUAGGAAUUCUCAAUUCCGUGCUGAUCAAUCAAACUUCACUGGGAGAAGGUUUCUUUCAGUUUACAGUCUCCCUUUCAUUCUUUAUAACCACUUUGGUAAGUUCCUUGAGGGCCUGUUUGGAUCCAUGGAAAAGUUUUUUGGAGAAAAUUCUAUUUCUGCAGAAACACCAUUUCCGUUGAUUUUUUUUUUUUUUUUUUUCUUUUAUUUUCCAGCCAUUCUUGGAAAAAUCAUUUCCAUUAUUCCAAAUCUUCCAGAAAUUCGAGCAUUUUGGUUACCUCUUUCGUUCUGAUGAAACGUGAUUUCCCAAAGUCAAAGAAGUUGAAGGAAACUCACCCCAAAUCACCAGUAGCUACCACAAAAAAGCAUCCGAAAGGAUUCAAAAGAAUCUUCCAACCUUAAAACUGGAACACUUCAAACUUUUCAAAGCAUCCACAAGCUUACUUGCAGAACUAUAGAAACUAUUGCAGGGGGCAAAAAUAAAAAAUAAAAAUCCCCCAAUGCUCUGGGAUGGAGAAAGGAAUGGUCCUGUUUCAGUUUGACGACACUCCCUAUGGGACUCCAAAGAAUGGUGGCCCUGUUUCAGUCUGAUGACAUUCUGUACAGGACUUGAGGAAUAAGAGCUGAUUCAGACCAACAUGAGCAUAAAGCAGUAUCACCGAUGCAAGGUUUCAUGUAUUGUUCUGCCACUCCCUGCAAUGCUCAUUACAGAUGCAAUUAGAUUAUUUCAUGUCGACUAAGCGGAUACAUUUCCAAGAGAAAAAAAUAAAUAACUGUGAGUGAAACAAAAUAAGAUUAUUCCCUACCCUUUUGCUCUUUUGUUGUGGUUAGAGUUUGCUUGGAAGAAUCUUAGUAAGGAACUCUUCUUUGAUAGGCUUAUCCAUGCUUGGAGGUGUCUCCCCAGGGAAUGUCUCAGCACAUUUUUCGGCAAGGAAAUUAACAAAACGAGAUCCUUUCCCUUCGUUAAUCUUCUCCACGAGAGAUUUUGGCGGGUAAGGGAAGGGCCCCAGCCUCUAAGACGAUGGUUGUUGCUUCAACCCCCACACAGAAGAAAGGAAUUCAUUGGGCUUGUUCAUUGUUGUAAGAUUGACAGAUCCCCUAUACCUGUGGGUUGACAUACUUGUCAGAAACCAGAAUCCUAUUUGUAAGGAGAAAUGCUAGUGAUUCCAGAGAAAUGGAAGAGGCAAUUCGCAGUAUGCGUGCUAAUAUGGCACAUGAAUGGAUCCGGCCAGUCAUCAGGUGGGACCCCAUCUGACCAUACCCUGGCUAAAAAAAUAAAGAAAGAAGAAAAGUCAGGUCAGUCCACUCAUCAGGUGGGCAACCCAUAUACACUGAUGAGUGACUGGCCUAGCUUUUCAACCAAGGGCAUGUCUAUGAUGGGACCCACCUGAUGAGUGGGUUCCAGAUCUCUCAGUCGAGCACCAUGGGGCAGGGAAACCUCUUCAAUCUUUCCUUGUAAGAAUUGCCAUAUUGCCUCUCAUUUCAAACUAACGUCACGAAUGCACAAGGCAAACAACCAACCUCUUGAGAAAUCGAAGAUUAGCCUUAGAGCUUCAGAGGGUAUGCUGAAGUUGAUAAAUGGUAUGGUCCCUAAACGCCUGUAAUCAUGAAAGGCCAAAAACAAUUUCUCUAAUUACGCUUCAACAAACUUCAAUUAAUGAUUGUUUACCUUUCUAUCUUGAAUGUUAUUCAUCAACUUCUUUCUCAUUUAUUUUUAGUUGUAUAAACUGGUAAGAGCUUAUUUGUUAAAUGGGGGAUAAUGUAGAACUGUUGCUAUUUAUAGAUUGGUGAACCUAGAAGUUCAAGAAUUGGAUAUGUUUAUGCCAUGUUGAUGAUACAAAAAUCUGAUCAGCUGUAAUCCAUCCAGACCAAUAUUUGUUUAUGAAAAAAAAAAAAAAGACAAACGAAACACAAGGAAAUGUAAUUUAAGGCUGUACUCAUAACAAUGUUGGCUAAUAUCUGCCAUGAAUGUUUGACAGAACAAUUUCCUUUUCCAAGAAAUGGAGUAGCAUUUUUGCAUACAUUUUUUGUUUGUCAUUCGGGGCUUGCGAAAUGUCAUUGUUUCAGAAUCUCGUCUUCAUGUUUGUUCACACACAGAUCUUUUGCUGAUAUUAUGAUUGGUGUUCUUUCUGCAUGCCUAAUAACCUGACAUUCAGGUUGUUGCAUUGGGGAAUAUCAACACUGUAGCGACCAAGAAAGGAAAUUGUAUUCAGGCAUCUUCUCAUGUAUUUCUUCAUUUGAAUAAACUUUCAUAACAAUCACAUACUGUUGAGUAUUGUUUUUUCUUUGGUUGACUUUUAUACCUGUUUUAUUAGUUUAAAAGGUUUUAAGUCCAUCCAGCCACCAUUAAUUCAGAUGGCGUCUUGCUGUUAUGCUUUCCAGUUGAAUCAAGAAAACAUUACUGCUAUUAUUAGAUGACAAAAUCUAUAAUAAUGUUUAAAUCCACCUUUUCUUUUGCAACAGACUCAAGUUAUUGCAGCAGCAACUGCUGGUGUUGCAGCUGAGGAUUCAUAUCUUCAGGUGGUGUUUCAAAUUUCUCUGAUGCACCAAUUCCAUUCAGUUUUGUGGUGCUCUUUCAUGUCUUCUUUGAAUCUGCAAUGCCUGCUUUGUGGAACCAUCUGAUGGACAUGUCAUGCAGGGUUAUUUUGAUAAUGUUUCAGAGCAUCUCAGAGUAGGAUCACCAUUAUAUUUUGUUGUGAAGAACAACUAUAGGUGAUCAAUUGGCAAUUGCUAAGGAAACUGAGUGUCGGUUGGGAAUGGGUACAAACAUAUACCCAUCUUCAUGUCUUCUGGGGGACAGCAAGGAUGAAUUAGUUUCGGCUCUACCUGUGGAUGGACUAAUUGAAAAGGCUGAUGGUUUUGCUGGGGUGUUUCCUGGUAAAAUUUUUGCAUAUUCUGUUGGUCCUAUCAAUUUUUCUUAUGCCAUUUCUUAUACUAUGUUUUCUUCCACAAAACACAAGUAUGAGAUUGUGAAGAAACUCCAAGCUAGAAAGCACAUCUAUGGAAUGACAGGUGAUGGGGUCAAUGAUGCACCUGCAUUAAAGAAGGCAAACACAGGAAUUACAGUGGCCAGAUGCAACAGAUGCUGCUCGAAGUGCUUCUGACAUAGUUCUAACAGAGCCUGAAUUGAGUGUAAUCAUUAGUGCCAUUUUAACAAGCCGUGCAAUUUUUCAGAAAAUAAAGAACUAUACAGUAGUCUCAUGCUUUCAUUUGCUAUAUUACAGAUAGGGACUGUGCUUGUGCUGCUGACCUGUUCCACUUUUGAUAUUUACGUACCAUGACAUGGAUCUGUUUGGGAUGGCUUGAUUGGGGAAAGUACUUAGUUCACACCAUACGAAGGGACCCCAAUCGUUGAGGAAAGCAAAAAUGUCGUUGUACCUUAAAAAUGUCAAUGGUCCAAAAUAUUUCAUGAAUCAACAGCUUUGUUGUGCUUGGUUGGUUUUCAAGCGAACAAGGCAGCUGCAUUAGAAGUCAGCAUAGUAUAUAUGUGGCUAAAAUAUAAAUCAAACAAAUGCAUAUAUACACAUGAAGAACCUAAUUUUUGUCCUCAUACAUGUUACCGAUUCAUGCCAUAAUCAGUUUUAUAUGAACAUGGACAAUUCUUGUGAUGAUGGGAAUAAAGCACUAAUACUUCUAUUUCCACAAC